RNAcentral lists this ribosomal RNA (274 nucleotides) under uncultured bacterium. RNAcentral describes it as "partial 16S ribosomal RNA". It matches the Rfam family "Bacterial small subunit ribosomal RNA", at positions 523 to 796 of the family's 1533-position model. The record is from RNAcentral.
AUACGGAGGGGGUUAGCGUUGUUCGGAAUUACUGGGCGUAAAGCGUACGUAGGCGGAUCAGAAAGUAUGGGGUGAAAUCCCAGGGCUCAACCCUGGAACUGCCUCAUAAACUCCUGGUCUUGAGUUCGAGAGAGGUGAGUGGAAUUCCGAGUGUAGAGGUGAAAUUCGUAGAUAUUCGGAGGAACACCAGUGGCGAAGGCGGCUCACUGGCUCGAUACUGACGCUGAGGUACGAAAGUGUGGGGAGCAAACAGGAUUAGAUACCCUAGUAGUCC